This 88-nucleotide transfer RNA is filed under the name Desulfonauticus sp. Its description in RNAcentral is "tRNA-Leu". It matches the Rfam family "tRNA". From Rfam's summary of the family: Transfer RNA (tRNA) molecules are approximately 80 nucleotides in length. Their secondary structure includes four short double-helical elements and three loops (D, anti-codon, and T loops). The record is from RNAcentral. Lineage: Bacteria; Pseudomonadati; Thermodesulfobacteriota; Desulfovibrionia; Desulfovibrionales; Desulfonauticaceae.
GCCCGGGUGGCGGAACUGGUAGACGCAAGGGACUUAAAAUCCCUCGGGCGUAUAGCCCGUGCCGGUUCGAGUCCGGCCCCGGGCACCA